Molecule: ribosomal RNA, 1052 nt
Filed under: Psychrobacter sp.
Lineage: Bacteria; Pseudomonadati; Pseudomonadota; Gammaproteobacteria; Moraxellales; Moraxellaceae
Description: bacterial SSU rRNA
Rfam family: Bacterial small subunit ribosomal RNA
Source: RNAcentral
GAUCAGCCAUGCCGCGUGUGUGAAGAAGGCCUUCUUGGUUGUAAAGCACUUUAAGCAGUGAGAAGACUCCAUGGUUAAUACCCUUGGACGAUGACAUUACCUGCAGAAUAAGCACCGGCUAACUCUGUGCCAGCAGCCGCGGUAAUACAGAGGGUGCAAGCGUUAAUCGGAAUUACUGGGCGUAAAGCGAGCGCAGGUGGCUUGAUAAGUCAGAUGUGAAAUCCCCGGGCUUAACCUGGGAACGGCAUCUGAUACUGUUAGGCUAGAGUAUGUGAGAGGAAGGUAGAAUUCCAGGUGUAGCGGUGAAAUGCGUAGAGAUCUGGAGGAAUACCGAUGGCGAAGGCAGCCUUCUGGAAUCAUACUGACGCUGAGGUUCGAAAGCGUGGGUAGCAAACAGGAUUAGAUACCCUGGUAGUCCACGCCGUAAACGAUGUCUACUAGUCGUUGGGUCCCUUGAGGACUUACUGACGCAGCUAACGCAAUAAGUAGACCGCCUGGGGAGUACGGCCGCAAGGUUAAAACUCAAAUGAAUUGACGGGGGCCCGCACAAGCGGUGGAGCAUGUGGUUUAAUUCGAUGCAACGCGAAGAACCUUACCUGGUCUUGACAUAUCUAGAAUCCUGCAGAGAUGCGGGAGUGCCUUCGGGAAUUAUAAUACAGGUGCUGCAUGGCUGUCGUCAGCUCGUGUCGUGAGAUGUUGGGUUAAGUCCCGCAACGAGCGCAACCCUUGUCCUUAGUUACCAGCGGUUUGGCCGGGAACUCUAAGGAUACUGCCAGUGACAAACUGGAGGAAGGCGGGGACGACGUCAAGUCAUCAUGGCCCUUACGACCAGGGCUACACACGUGCUACAAUGGUACGUACAGAGGGCAGCUACACAGCGAUGUGAUGCGAAUCUCAAAAGCCUAUCGUAGUCCAGAUUGGAGUCUGCAACUCGACUCCAUGAAGUAGGAAUCGCUAGUAAUCGCGGAUCAGAAUGCCGCGGUGAAUACGUUCCCGGGCCUUGUACACACCGCCCGUCACACCAUGGGAGUUGAUUGCACCAGAAGUGGGUA